ACGGGUGAGUAACGCGUGGGAAGCUACCUUGUGGUAGGGGACAACAGUUGGAAACGACUGCUAAUACCCUAUGAGCCCUAUGGGGGAAAGAUUUAUCGCCAUGAGAUGUGCCCGCGUUACAUUAGCUAGUUGGUAAGGUAAUGGCUUACCAAGGCGACGAUCUAUAGCUGGUCUGAGAGGAUGAUCACCCUAACUGGGACUGAGACACGGCCCAGACUCCUACGGGAGGCAGCAGUGGGGAAUAUUGGACAAUGGGGGCAACCCUGAUCCAGCCAUGCCGCGUGUGUGAUGACGGCCUUAGGGUUGUAAAGCACUUUCAGCAGUGAAGAUAAUGACAUUAACUGCAGAAGAAGCCCCGGCUAACUUCGUGCCAGCAGCCGCGGUAAUACGAAGGGGGCUAGCGUUGUUCGGAAUCACUGGGCGUAAAGAGUACGUAGGCGGACUGAUAAGUUAGGGGUGAAAUCCCAAGGCUCAACCUUGGAACUGCCUUUGAUACUGUCAGUCUUGAGAUCGAGAGAGGUGAGUGGAACUCCGAGUGUAGAGGUGAAAUUCGUAGAUAUUCGGAAGAACACCAGUGGCGAAGGCGGCUCACUGGCUCGAUACUGACGCUGAGGUACGAAAGCGUGGGGAGCAAACAGGGAUUAGAUACCCUGGUAGUCCACGCCGUAAAC
Molecule: ribosomal RNA, 671 nt
Filed under: Pseudovibrio sp. AU88_Ted2_MBdef
Lineage: Bacteria; Pseudomonadati; Pseudomonadota; Alphaproteobacteria; Hyphomicrobiales; Stappiaceae
Description: bacterial SSU rRNA
Rfam family: Bacterial small subunit ribosomal RNA
Source: RNAcentral